Cygnus olor (mute swan) is the source of this 3326-nucleotide long non-coding RNA. RefSeq lists it as uncharacterized. The transcript has 4 exons. NCBI's taxonomy places the organism in Eukaryota, Metazoa, Chordata, Aves, Anseriformes, Anatidae. The record is from RefSeq and is a predicted model, not a curated record.
CCUCCCAGGCUGACAAGAACUAACAGAGGAAAUAACGUGCAGUUUUAAAGGGCAGUGAUCAAGGCAGCAAUCACGUUCUAGCUGAGGAAACUUCCGGAUAUUCAGGGAGCAAGCUGUAUUUUUGCAGCGUUUGUUCUGGGAGGAUUGCAGCUAUACCACCGAGAGACCGAAGCAAAUUUUCUUAAUGUUUGAUUUCACUUUCCUGAUGCUCGAGAGGGUGUCUAGGAAGCGAGGUACCGUUCAGCAGUGCUGUGCUGCCAGAAAUGCUCGCUGAGCCCGUGCGAGGAGGAAAUCUCACCGGAACUGCUGGCGUUACCCCAGAAAGACCCUCUGCAGACUGACUCCACGUCCUCAGAGCUGAUCUCAUCGGGGCCUACCAAACACAUUAACGACGUCGAAAGUAGCCUACUUUAAGAGGAAAUAUGCAGAAGAAGAACAUUUACAUCAAGAUUGCCAUGAGUAUUGUCCAAAACACCUGAUACUACCCGAGGACCGGACUUGUAUUCUAAAACUUUCUCUCCAGAAACUCCGAUUCCUGGAAGACCCUGAAGCCUACCUCCGUAGGUCUGUAUUAAUUAACAAUCUGUUGAGGAAGAUUCACCUAGAGACAGAGAGGGAGAGCUAUGAAUACUUUAAGGAGGCUCCGUGUUAUAGGACUGCUUACUCUGAUGCACGAAAACGGCUGAAGUUUAUGGUACACGAGUGCUGUUCCCAGUCGCUCUAUUAUGAAGAGCUGCAUUCGUAUCGUAUCGUGCCUUAUUCUGCAGAGAACGCCGUUUACGGAAUGGGCUACACAAGCAGCCACUUGGAGCAAAAUUCUCAAUUGCUUAUUUAUAAAAUGAAUUAAAGUAGCUGUUAGACCCACCUAUGUUUGUUUCUGAAUGCUUGAACUGCUUAUUGAGGUGUUAAGAUGAGGCACUAAUUGCAGAGAUACUUAAUGAUCAAGCCGGGUGCGGUAGGAGCUGAGCGAAUGGCACUUUGAAAUCCGCUCCGCAGCCCCAGUUUUAACCCCGUGGCUAUGAAGUACCUUGGCACACACACGGAGCUGGUGCAAUACACAGGUCCUUACCCACUGAGGCUGUGUGCAGCAUGUUGUGUAGAAGCAAAGCCGCAUUUAAGUUCUGUGUGUGUAGAUACAGACAUUGAAAAUCACUUUGCAGUUAAAUUCUGCCAUUCCUGGCAGAAGGGGAGCCCCUAGAGUAGCAGAGUAGUCUAACAGUGAGGAGUAAAAAGCAAGUUAUUUACGUAAAGGCAUAGAUAGAAAGUUUCUUUGAGGAAAUGUUUGGAAUAUGAAGGAGUCAGUGCCAAAGGAAAUAGCCUUUUGCUUAGGAUUUUCAGAGACUAACUCGCUUGCUACUUACAAGACACUCUAUACUGAGACUUACAAGGUUAUUUUUUUUUUUUUUUAGAAUAAUUGCAUUCACCUUUUUACAUAUUAUUAUCUCUUAGCUGGUAUCUAUUUUGCUAUUUUAAUACAGAACAGAAUGACUCACAGGAAAAAUUGCUUCUUCAGCCCGCCAUCAGUGUUUCCUUAGCUUCAUUUGAUUCUUCCCCUAGUUGUUUCCCUGAUACUUUUCUGCAUGCUAAUUUGCUGUUUGGCCGGAGGUUCACAUUGGUGCUAGGGAAUAGACAGUCAUUUAUUUUUACGUGGAAUAAACAAGGCAGAAAAACAACCAUAACUCCUAUCGAUAGAGAAUGAAUGUACGUGACAGAUGCUAGUAAAGCCUCAGAGAUUCUCCUGAUGAAGCUACUCAGCAUUCGUAAUAGUGUUUCAGGUCAAGUGAAAUGUCUAAUUUCAAUCUGGGAAUUAACCUUAGAAUAUGUAAAUAUAUAUUUCGCAAGCUAUGAAAUGACAUGAGAGAUGUUCAGCAAAUCGAUGACUACAAGUGGAAAGUUUUAUAGCUGCCAAAGCUAUGUCAUGAAAAUACCAAAGAGUAAUAUAAGGGAAAAGAUGAUGCUCCAGCAAUGGGGUCAAAAGCAAAGAUUGCACUAUAACCUGUGGAAAUGUGAUUGAUGAGCCUGUAAAUUAUCAGUUGCUGAUACACCUGCUGUUCUCCGGAGGGUGGCUCACAACCCAGAAUCACUGAACAAAUACGCAAAAUGGUCCAAAGCCUGUCCUCUAGGGCUGUUGGCUUCCAGUGAAGAAAUUGGCUUUGCCUGCCUGGCUAUCACCCCCGCAGCUUUAAAGCAAAGUAAUAGCACACUCUCAGCUGGAGGCAGAUAUGUAUCUAAGAACAUGAUUUUUUUUUUAUUUUGAAAGGGUUUUCUCAUGCGGGUCUGGCCGAUGCUAUUUCUGAAGCAUUAUGGAGUACGAACAAAUACCAUUGCUUGACAGGGAUGUGUUUAGUGUAGGAUUCCUUCUGUAACCCUGCCCGGAGCAUCUUAGUUGUGUGUGUUGCACGUCAUCGCAGCUGUCAGGCACGUGUUCAUAGCGCAGGAAAAAAGAUAGGAAGGCAAGAGCAGAAGGUGUGAAGAGCAAAGUCAGCUCAUAUAUCAGCAGUUGGAAGCAGGACAGGUUUAGGGGAUAGAACGGAGCAGUUAAAUACAACUUUUUAAUGAGAAAAAAAUGCAACAGCUGAUUUCAAAACAAGGAUAGCCUGCAAACUGGGGAACACGAACAGCACAGGUAUUGCAGUGAGGCUGGAAGGACAGGGCAGCGCUGUGUUUGGGAGGCCCUGUUGGUUGUUAUGAAUGUUCAGGCUGUGAGAAGCAGCUUUUGGUUUUGUGCUGAGGCAGGGCAUACUUCUUUGCCUCUUCAAAAAGGUGUCAUCAGCCCCUUGCUGUGCAACACAGGGGGCUUUGCCUCCCUCCCAAAAAACUCGUGCUGGGCCCUGUUUGGGGAGUCUCCAGCUACAAGGGUCUGUGCCCAGCUCGACAGGGGCCAGCUGAGAGAGGCUGGCUAAUUGCUCAUUGCCAGCUGGGCGCAGCAGCCCUCGUACCUUAAGCAGAAGCUGGAAGCCAACCCCGUGCUGCACAGGAGGGGGCUGAUGGCUGAUGGGCGCCACGAGAGGUGCUGUGAGCCCCCGGGGAGCUCCCAGCCCCUGUUGGCCCCUGGGAUCCUCCUGGGGACACAGAAGCCAGGCCUCAGGAGGCUGCUGGGUGUUACAGGGGAACUGUUCCUCUUGUCUGGUGUUUCAAAAUAUGUAAUUUGCUGCUCUGAAGUGAUCCAAUUUAUAUGCUUCUUUGUUCUUUGUGUGUUUCUGCCUGAACUCAUGAUGAUCUAGCUACUACAUGAAAUGCUAAAACGCUUCUGUUUUUCCUCUGCCCUGCUUUAUUACAUUCAUACGACGGUCCUGGCCUGAAAAACAAAACUUUUUACAUAAAAU